GGCGGAGUAGCUCAAUUGGCGAGAGCGCGCGGCCCAUAACCGCGAGGUUCAGGGUUCGAUCCCCUGCUCCGCCA
RNAcentral lists this transfer RNA (74 nucleotides) under Pseudomonadota bacterium. RNAcentral describes it as "tRNA-Met". It matches the Rfam family "tRNA". From Rfam's summary of the family: Transfer RNA (tRNA) molecules are approximately 80 nucleotides in length. Their secondary structure includes four short double-helical elements and three loops (D, anti-codon, and T loops). RNAcentral also lists the same sequence under 1 other name. Lineage: Bacteria; Pseudomonadati; Pseudomonadota. The record is from RNAcentral.